UUCCUCAGGGAAGGUUGGGGGCGUCUGAGGGAGGGAGAAAGGACCUGGGGACGGACUUGUGAGGCUGCGAUCGGCGGUGAUGAUGUCACUGCGGCACAGGAGAGUGCGCUGUGACGUCAUAAGAGCCUUUUUCCUCAAGGAAGAGAAAUGCCGAGAUCCGCAGAGAUCAAGCAGUGGGAAGGAAGUUACCGCAGCCUAAGCCCGGCCUGGGCCGGGGAACCCCAAAGAAAGGAGACUUUAUGGGGAAACUAUAGAUGCGUUUGGAGCUGCCAAGUCAUUCAUUUAACAAAUGUUUAUUGAGACCUACUAUGUGAACUAGAAAUUGGGGAUAAAAUUCUGAAUAAAACAAAAAGGAGCCCUGCCUACACGGAGCUAAUGGAGUGACAGGAGAAGCAAAGAAAAAACAAGAAAACAGUAGACCUGCCAAAGUGGGCACAGUAGCUAUAUUUCCAGGAACUUCUCACCUGGGAGGCUUAAGAUGUUGUCCAGAAAUUCCUCAUGGUCCCCACAGAAGCCUAUUCAAGUUACACACCACUUCCUUUGUCAAGCGGAGCAAACCACAGAAACGUCGUGUGUGCUGCUGCUCUAAAAACUUCUUGUCGCUCUUAAAAGUGGUUGAAAGAAGAAAAGAAACAUCAGAAAAUCCUGGCAUUGGUGUCAAACCUGUCGAUGUAAUGCGUGGGUGGACUUGUACAUUUUUUCCCCUUUUGUGGUUGACUGAUAUUUGGGUUUCUCUGCGUACCUACGUCUGCCUGUAAUAGUUGUAGGUUAACUAAUGUUUUGCUCUGGCAAAUCAAGGACAACGUAUGUGUGUGCCAGGGCUUCUCUCUCACUGGAGUAUUGUUGCCGCCCAAGAAAUGAAUCUCCUGUUAGACAACAUCAGGAAUUGUUUCGAAAGCAUUCUUCCAAAAAAAACCACACGUAACCUUUGCAUAAUUGAACCUCAAAAUCCUCCAGCCUUGAAAUUAGACUUCUCUCUCUCCAAUGCAAGUUAGUAGAAUUAUUCAAAAUAUUUUCCAGUUCGAAGAGCUGGGAGAAAAUGUGUUGACCUGGUGACAAGGUAUCGUAGCAUAUGCUGUGCAGCUCUGUGUGGGCAGGGGAGGUAUUAUCCCCUGAGGCGGCAAGUGGAACAGCCAUGCCCCUCUCAGGACACACAGCCUGACGUCACCACCGCUGUCACUGUCAUCCACUAACCUCUAAAUACCCAGCAGGACCUAAGCCUUAAUCAUGAGAAAAAAAAAUUAUUUUAGACACAGUCCCUGCUUUGGAGAGAGAAAGAAGAUAUAAAAACUUGGAGCAGUAUUUUAAAAAUUAUAUAUAAGAUUGAUAUUACUUUGGUGUGUUAUAAAGGUGGAGGAUGCAGAAAGGUUAGUUAUUUUGAUUUGAGGUUUGACUCUUUUCAGUUUGGGAUUUUUUUUCUCUUUUAUUUAUUUUCACUCCCGUGUGGGGUUUGUUUAAAGAAAGAGAGAAUAUAACAAACACUCAUGUACUCACCAGGUUACGAGAUAAACAUCAGAGACGCAAUUGAAGCCCUUAUGUAUCCUUUCUCCUCAAUCCCAUUUCCUUUCUCCCUCUCCAGAAGGUAGCUGCUAUCCUAUUUAGUUAUCUUACCUUCUCUGGAUAGAUCUGUAAACAAUAAAGAUAUUAUAUACAGAUAUAUUUCUGCUACUUGUUUUGAUCAACAUUAAGUUUCUGAGCUGUAUCCUUGCUGAUCCAUAUAGUUUGAAACUCUCUUUUUUUCACAACUGUGUGGUGUUCUGCUGUAUACCUACGUGAUAAUUUAAAACAUCCUUUCUUCUCUUGUUGGGGGUCAUAGGAUUUUCAUAUCUGCAACUGUACGGGAUAUUGCCACAUCAUUCUCCAAAGU
This is a non-coding RNA of Equus caballus (horse), 1867 nucleotides long. The record is from RefSeq and is a predicted model, not a curated record. Lineage: Eukaryota; Metazoa; Chordata; Mammalia; Perissodactyla; Equidae.